Molecule: ribosomal RNA, 446 nt
Filed under: uncultured bacterium
Lineage: Bacteria
Description: SSU rRNA
Rfam family: Bacterial small subunit ribosomal RNA
Source: RNAcentral
AGGAUGAACGCUGGCGGUCUGCUUAACACAUGCAAGUCGAACGGAGUAGAAAUACUUAGUGGCGGACGGGUGAGUAACGCGUGAGAAUCUACCUUCGGGACGGAGACAACAGUUGGAAACGACUGCUAACCCCCGAUGUACUGAAAAGGCAAAUAUUUAUAGCCUGAAGAAGAGCUCGCGUCCGAUUAGCUAGUUGGAGAGGUAAAAGCUCACCAAGGCGACGAUCGGUAGCUGGUCUGAGAGGACGAUCAGCCACACUGGGACUGAGACACGGCCCAGACUCCUACGGGAGGCAGCAGUGGGGAAUUUGCUCAAUGGGCGCAAGCCUGAAGCAGCAACGCCGCGUGAGGGAUGAAGGCCUUCGGGUUGUAAACCGUCUUUUAUCUAGGGACGAUUAUGACGGUACCUGAUGAAUAAGCCACGGCUAACUACGUGCCAGCAGCCGC